This is a long non-coding RNA of Acipenser ruthenus (sterlet), 1324 nucleotides long. RefSeq lists it as uncharacterized. The transcript has 2 exons. The record is from RefSeq and is a predicted model, not a curated record. Lineage: Eukaryota; Metazoa; Chordata; Actinopteri; Acipenseriformes; Acipenseridae.
CUGGAUUUUUUCAUUUGCUCAGUUUUGCUUAAUACUGUGGAACUGGUUCUAUGUUCUAUUAGAAUAUAUGAACUGUUAAAAUACUAGGACAGCAGCUGUCUCUAUACUGUGAACCCCUUUAUAGACUCUUAAGUAAUAUUUGCAUUACAUUUAGUGAUGAGGAACAGCCAGUGAUUCUGUAGUAUUGUUAAGCUUACAGCUGUGGCCAAAAGUUUAGCAUCACCUAGAAUUUUAGGAUUGAGACAUCACUAAAAAAAAGAAAAAAAAACUACAUGAACAUAAUUUAGAUCUUUUAUUUUUUAUCAUGUAAUCAAAUAAUAAUCAAAUAUCUUUUAUCAUGUAAUCAAAAAAAACUACAAAAUGAUAUCGCAAAAACUCCACAGGAAGCCAUAAUAGUAGUAGAGUAGUAUUUUAUGUUAGAUUUCGAAAUGUCACAUUUUUGUCAGUUUUCCGUUGAGUAUAUAGCAAACUGCGAAGCGGUAUGUAGUUCAAUAUGUUAACGUAACAUUAUUCAGCAGGUUUCAUUCGACUUCAUGAAGCAAAAUUAGAUCAUUCUAUUGGGCGCUGCAAAACUUUUGCCCAUAGCUGUAUUUUAGUGAUUAAACUCAAAUAAAACUAAUAGCUUGCAAAUAAAAUGGUGUUGAAAUGGUUUUGAAAUCUUGGGUUGGAUUGUUUCUAUAGGCUGAGCAUCGUGGCAGAGAAAAUAACCCCUUUGGGGCUCUCCAGCUCUCAAACGCCGGUCAGAACUCAAAGGAAGAUGCUGAGGGCACUUAUACUGCACUGAACACAUCAGCUGUUUCCUCAGACUAUGAAGAAAUAUGCAAGAAGUAACCAGGAUGGAAAUCUUUGCUCUAAUUGAUAAUGCUGGCGGCUGUUAAAAUGUACUGCCUUCAUUUUGUGAACAGUAAUGCUACUCUUUAGUCCUUCACCGUUUCCUUAGCUUUAAGAUGCUUUAUUGAACUGGAGCUUCAUUUAUGGCAAAAGAAUGCAAUUCUGUUUUAAAGCACAGAUAUAAAAAUGUGCAUCUCCAGUCAAAAUGUAUUUCACACAGUAUUUUUUAUUAUUUUUUUUUAUUUCACAAUAUUGUAAAGCCAAAAAAAAGCUUUUUUUUUUAAAAAAUAUAUUCAUGAAUGUAUUUGAAUAUAUUUAGCAAUCAUGACCUGCUACAUAUAUUGUAUCAUCAGUAAGGUGUUCAAUACGGUAGAUAAGUCAUCUACAAUACACUGCACUUUUUAACACAUAUUUUACAAUAUAUUCCAAUGUAUUUAUUUCUUGAGGGGUGAUGUCUUUCUCAGUUUUAAUUUCAAAUAAAUAAUGAAACUUC